RNAcentral lists this long non-coding RNA (404 nucleotides) under Homo sapiens (human). Its description in RNAcentral is "non-protein coding lnc-PPDPFL-7:1". The record is from RNAcentral. Lineage: Eukaryota; Metazoa; Chordata; Mammalia; Primates; Hominidae.
UUCAUCUCUCUGGUCGCUAUCACCGGGGACAUGCCGUCCCCAGCUCAGUGACAAAAAUGCUGAGUUUCUUCCGUAGAACACUAGGGAGUCGGUCUAUGGGUAAACAUGCAGAGAAGGAACGACUCCGAGAAGCACAAUGCGCUGCCACACAUAUUCCUGCCCCUGGAGAUUCCAGGUCCAUCAUCACGUGUCAGGUGUCCCUUCUGGAUGGUACUGAUGUUAGUGUGGACUUGCCAAAAAAAGCCAAAGGGCAAGAGUUGUUUGAUCAGAUUAUGUAUCACCUGGAUCUUAUUGAAAGUGGCUAUUUUGAUCUGAGAUUUAUGGAUUCAGCACAAGUAGCAUCACCAAAGUAAUUCAAUGGAAGAAGAAUAGUCUCAAUAAUGGUGCUGGAUUAGAACCUGUGG